Molecule: non-coding RNA, 30 nt
Filed under: Mus musculus (house mouse)
Lineage: Eukaryota; Metazoa; Chordata; Mammalia; Rodentia; Muridae
Source: RNAcentral
UGUCUACUAUGUGUACACUGUGGCACACGU